RNAcentral lists this long non-coding RNA (1683 nucleotides) under Homo sapiens (human). RNAcentral describes it as "SIGLEC10 antisense RNA 1 (SIGLEC10-AS1)". The record is from RNAcentral. Lineage: Eukaryota; Metazoa; Chordata; Mammalia; Primates; Hominidae.
GGGCAGAAUCACCCACUGAGUCCCAGACACAAACUGCAUGAGGGUCUACACAGGUAAGAAGGUCGGUCUCCGAGGCCUGGGGCUCCAGGCCCCCUCAGCUCUGGGACCCUGAGCCCAGCCCCUGUAUCCCUCUGCCCUCCCAAUGGACUCCAGGCCCCUGCUGGGCACACUCACACUGCACAGAGAGGUCCAGGGCUCGCUGCUGGGAGCCAAGCCUGUUCUCCGCUCGGCAGGUGUAGCGCCCUGAAUCCCCAGCCUUCACCCCGGGCAGCUCCAGCCCCAGGGGUCUAGGGCCCCAGGGAUGGGACGAGGAGAGGACUCUGUUCUGCAGGACCCAGCUCAGUGUGGCAGGGGGCUGGCUGUCAGCAGCACAGAGGAGCCGCAGGAACUGGCCUUUUUGGGCUUCCAGGGCUGCGGCGGCAUCCUGGGACCCCACAGCUUCCUCUCCCUGGAUGCUCCUGAGCUGGGAGCCGCUCACUGUCCCACUGGGCUCCUCCACCUCCCCACCCACCGGGGCUGUCUGCACACCCCACCCUCCCAGGCCACACUCACAGGCCACACGGAGUCGGACGGUCCUCUGUGCGCUCACACCCUUUCUGGAGAAGUCCACAUGGCAGCUUCCUCUCUCCACCCGAAAGAAGUACUGUGACUCAUCCUGCAUCUGCGCGUCUCUGAUCACCAAGGAGCAGUUCCCCUUGGCGGGAUCCCCAGUGAGCUGGAAUCGGCCCCGGGUGCUCAUUUCCACCUCUCGACUCUGGUGGUUUGUGGCCACAGGAGCACCCUUGGUUGUCUCAGUCACUGCUUUGAACCAGUAGCCAUAAGCUGGGGUAGACCCUGUCCAGUCCUGUCGGGGGUAGGAGAAAGAGCAGGGCACAGAGAUGCACAGGCCCUCCGGCACCAUCACUGACUCCUGCACUCGUAUCCAGAAUCUCCCAUCCAUAGCCUGGGACCCUGUGGGGAGACAGAGGCUCAACCUGCAACCCCAGCCCUAGCUCCGCCCCAGGUCCUUUCCGGCCCUUGGCCCACUCACCGCCCAGCAGCGAGGACAGCAGCAGUGGCAGUAGCAUCUCCGCAUAGGAGGCGCAGGGCCUGCCUGAGACAGGCCUGUUCUCUGGUCGUGCUGUGAGUGGCUCAGGGCUCUUGGCAGAAGGGGAAGCCGAAGGCGGAAGCUGAGCCCUGGGGCCUGAUGCAUGAAAUGAGCUUCAGACGCUGAGCUCACAGAACUCCUUUGCCUUCCCCCACACUCUCCGGCCCACCUUGCCCAGUUGUCCUCUGGGUCUCCUGGGGGCCCAGCCUGGCCUUGGGCUUGUUGAGCUGGUCCUUCCAGAGCUCCCUGUGUAGGAGGAGAGGGCAGGCUUGUGUCUAUCCUGGGGGCCUGGCUGGGGGUGGGGUAGUGGGGUGGGGGCUCUCCCUCUGGGCCCUGGGUCAUCGGAAAAGCAGAAGUGAGAAGUCCACAGUGAGCUACCCUUAUCUGGGCCACUGGUGGUGGAGGUGGUGGGUACAGGGGAAGGGACCGUUACUGGAGGGGGCUGGUCUUGUCAGGUAAAAUGCAGGAUGCCUGGUUAAAGCUUUCACAGACAAUAUAAAGUAUUUUAUUUUAUGUUUUUUGGUAUAAGUAUGUCCGAAAUGCUGCAUGGGAUAUACUUAUACCAGAAAGCAAAAUAAAUUUAUCUGAAAUUCAAA